RNAcentral lists this ribosomal RNA (301 nucleotides) under uncultured bacterium. RNAcentral describes it as "partial 16S ribosomal RNA". It matches the Rfam family "Bacterial small subunit ribosomal RNA", at positions 509 to 807 of the family's 1533-position model. The record is from RNAcentral.
CAGUCGCCGCGGUAAUACGAAGGGUGCAAGCGUUAAUCGGAAUUACUGGGCGUAAAGCGUGCGCAGGCGGUUGUGUAAGACAGGUGUGAAAUCCCCGGGCUUAACCUGGGAACUGCGCUUGUGACUGCACAGCUAGAGUAUGGCAGAGGGGGGUGGAAUUCCACGUGUAGCAGUGAAAUGCGUAGAGAUGUGGAGGAACACCGAUGGCGAAGGCAGCCCCCUGGGCCAACACUGACGCUCAUGCACGAAAGCGUGGGGAGCAAACAGGAUUAGAUACCCCCGUAGUCCCUGUCUCUUAUAC